Non-coding RNA from Sus scrofa (pig), 2389 nucleotides. The record is from RefSeq and is a predicted model, not a curated record. NCBI's taxonomy places the organism in Eukaryota, Metazoa, Chordata, Mammalia, Artiodactyla, Suidae.
GCGCAGAGACCGGACGCGCGGAGGGGCGUGGCCGGCCCAGUCCAGGUCGCAGGGGCGCGCAGGAGCUGGGAAGGGCGCGUCGGGGCAGGCGGUCAGCCGGCCCCGGUGAUUGGGACUGGGACUGUAGGGUCCCAGCGGGCAGAGAAAGCCAUUACCUGCCCUGGGGAGAAAGACAGUCUUGCCAGGUUGGCCGCCACCUCAGUAGAGACUUCUUCGUGGUUACCUGGCGUGCUCUGCCAGAUAGAGACUUCCUCUAAGCGGUAGUGACCUGUCGGGGACGUGGUGAAUGUGUAACCAGGAGUCCGCAACCCCAGGAGUCCGCAACCCCAGGAGUCCGACUGGAGGCCAACCCUAGGAGAAGUUUCUAAAAGCCUAGGUGCAUUGGAGAUUCAUCUAAGGGAAAUGAAAGGAGAAGGAUUUCUUCCAAAAUAGGUCCUGCCCACACCUCCUCAGGUGCUGAUGAUCGGUGGCAUGUGCUUGCCAUUCCUCAGGAAUAAAACCAGGGCAUAUAAAACCCAAGGCCCAUUAACCCUGUGCAGAGGCGAUCAAUGGAAGCUGGAAAGAUGUGUGUCUUUUCCUGUACAAAAUAUGGCUCAGGAAAAAGCGAAGUCACUGGCUGCCCUGAAGCUGAAGAGAUGCUUCUUCACCUGGUUAGACCUGAGAAGACGCCCCUGGCUCACCCCAGCCUGAGAAUGAGUCCCAGGUUCUCCGAGAGGCAGAUGGGGGCUGGGGCAUGUUUCCUUUCUAGAUCAGCCUCUGGAGUCCAGAUGUGCCUGUCCAGUCCUUUGCAAAGACUUUUCCAGGAUGAUUAUCUUAAAGAUGUUUGCUGCAGUCAAGCAGGUCCUGUCCCAUAGCUCAACAGCAAGUCACCUACACUGGGCGAGGUUCGAGGGCCAGGAAGCAUGGGGCUGGAGGCCCAGCCAGCUCGGCAGUCACUUGGUCUGGACAAGGCAGGGCUGCGUGCUGCUGCCAGCUGUGAAUGACAGCAGUGUCUGGGGGACUUUUUGAUCCUUGAGGGAGCUACCCUCUAACUGAAGGAGAAAAGUCACUGUAGUGGUAAAGAUAGGAAGCAGGUCCAGUGUGAUUGGCAGUUACAGGCAUUGCAUGGUGCCGGGAGGAGGAAAGAUGAGAGAAGUGGGGGAGUGGGGGAAGGCUGGCUCAGCUCUUCUGCUAAGAAAGAGACUUUGGACCAAUCCUGUCUCAAUUUUCACUGUUCUCUUUCCCAGGCGCUAAUGCCAAUGUCCAAUGUACAUAUCAGCUCAAGUCUGACUCAUUGAGCAGAUGAAUUUGCUGAACAGUUCUGAGGCUGUUCAGCUCGCCUUGCAGAGUUAGCCAGGGGUGGGCCUUGCUGGGGUCCAACUUCUCAGAAGGUGCCGCUAGUGGGUGGCUCUUAGUCUGGGAUGACAUUUAACCUCACAACAUGCCUGGGGAACAAGUGUUAAGGGCGUGGACCCUGGGGGCAGGCUGUGUGGAGCCUUCCCAGCAUGGGAGCUGGUGAAGUGGGGGUGGAGGUGGGGCCUAUGGAGGCGGCACAGGCUUUGGAACAACAGAGCAGAACAUGUGGGCUUUUCUUGGGCGAGCUGUCACUCGGGUGGCAAUCUGUGUGUUCUAUUAUAUAGUUUGAUGUCUUGUUAGAAUAGGAAGAUUUCAAAAUUAGCAUCAACAUUUGAGAAGAAAUAAGUCUCCUCCUUAUGCUGCUUAGCUCAAGUGGCACUGAAAACGGCAGAGCUCAGCCCCAGAAUGUUCUCCCUCCCCCAUGCCCAUCCAGCACUGCUGGCAGACGUCCUUCUCUGCAGAGGCCUGAUUUCUGCCUUCAUGGCUCCACAGGCCCCUCAGGGGUUGCUCUGCAGCCACCUGCCCUCCCUAACUCACCUGGCUGGGCAGUGGCAUCAGGGAAGGUGAGGGCUGGUCUCCUCUUCCUCAGUCUCAGCUCUUCUCCACUGGAAUGGGGGACCAGGCCUGGGUGCCUGCUGAUGGGACCACACCAAUACUCUGGGAAGCCCCACCACACCUUCCCUUGGCCCAAACUUGGAAAUAGAUGUCAUUGACUGCCACCUCAAGGCUUCCACGGGCCCCUCAGGUGGACUCCGGGUCAAGGCAGGCACAGGUUUACGGACCACUCUUGCUGGCAGGAUUCUGUUUCUGAUGUGUUCACCGUGAUCUCUGGAACAUGUCCAUGACCGUAUUCUGGGGACCUAGGUCUCUGGGUAUGUUAUGGUGCCCAUAUGAGACCUUGACCUUUUAUCAGUAAACUGAAAAACCUCCUGCCUCUCAACCAAGUUGAUGAUACUUUUCUUUCCUUCCUUCCUUCCUUUCUUUUCUUUUCUUCCUUCCUUCCUUCCUGACUUUCUGUCUUUUGUCUUUUUAGGGCUGCACUCUCGGCACAUGG